RNAcentral lists this ribosomal RNA (253 nucleotides) under uncultured organism. RNAcentral describes it as "partial 16S ribosomal RNA". It matches the Rfam family "Bacterial small subunit ribosomal RNA", at positions 524 to 776 of the family's 1533-position model. The record is from RNAcentral.
UACGUAGGGGGCGAGCGUUGUCCGGAAUGACUGGGCGUAAAGGGCGUGCAGGCGGUCUUUCAGGUCCCCUGUGAAAUCCCCGGGCUCAACCCGGGUGGUGCAGGGGAAACCGGGAGGCUAGAGGGGAGUAGAGGAGAGCGGAAUUCCCGGUGGAGCGGUGAAAUGCGUAGAGAUCGGGAAGAACACCAGUGGCGAAGGCGGCUCUCUGGGCUUACCCUGACGCUGAGGCGCGAAAGCCAGGGGAGCGAACGGG